RNAcentral lists this small nuclear RNA (149 nucleotides) under Prolemur simus (greater bamboo lemur). RNAcentral's name for it is "U1 spliceosomal RNA (ENSPSMG00000007485.1)". Lineage: Eukaryota; Metazoa; Chordata; Mammalia; Primates; Lemuridae. The record is from RNAcentral.
AUCCUUGCCUGGAAGGAGACAGGUCAUGUUCACAAGAGUGAGCUCUCUAGGGCAAGCCUAUUCCAUUGCCUCCCACAUGUGUUGACCCAUUAUUUCCCCAAACAUGGGAAACUAGAUGCACAUUUGAGGUGGUAGGGACUGUACCCUCU